ACCUGGUUGAUUCUGCCAGUAGUCAUAUGCUUGUCUCAAAGAUAAGCCAUGUGAGUCCUA
This 60-nucleotide ribosomal RNA is filed under the name Verticillium dahliae. RNAcentral describes it as "partial 18S ribosomal RNA". The record is from RNAcentral. Lineage: Eukaryota; Fungi; Ascomycota; Sordariomycetes; Glomerellales; Plectosphaerellaceae.